GUAUCCUGUCUGAAUAUGGGGGGACCAUCCUCCAAGGCUAAAUACUCCUGACUGACCGAUAGUGAACCAGUACCGUGAGGGAAAGGCGAAAAGAACCCCGGCGAGGGGAGUGAAAAAGAACCUGAAACCGUGUACGUACAAGCAGUGGGAGCACGCUUAGGCGUGUGACUGCGUACCUUUUGUAUAAUGGGUCAGCGACUUAUAUUCUGUAGCAAGGUUAACCGAAUAGGGGAGCCGAAGGGAAACCGAGUCUUAACUGGGCGUUAAGUUGCAGGGUAUAGACCCGAAACCCGGUGAUCUAGCCAUGGGCAGGUUGAAGGUUGGGUAACACUAACUGGAGGACCGAACCGACUAAUGUUGAAAAAUUAGCGGAUGACUUGUGGCUGGGGGUGAAAGGCCAAUCAAACCGGGAGAUAGCUGGUUCUCCCCGAAAGCUAUUUAGGUAGCGCCUCGUGAAUUCAUCUCCGGGGGUAGAGCACUGUUUCGGCAAGGGGGUCAUCCCGACUUACCAACCCGAUGCAAACUGCGAAUACCGGAGAAUGUUAUCACGGGAGACACACGGCGGGUGCUAACGUCCGUCGUGAAGAGGGAAACAACCCAGACCGCCAGCUAAGGUCCCAAAGUCAUGGUUAAGUGGGAAACGAUGUGGGAAGGCCCAGACAGCCAGGAUGUUGGCUUAGAAGCAGCCAUCAUUUAAAGAAAGCGUAAUAGCUCACUGGUCGAGUCGGCCUGCGCGGAAGAUGUAACGGGGCUAAACCAUGCACCGAAGCUGCGGCAGCGACGCUUAUGCGUUGUUGGGUAGGGGAGCGUUCUGUAAGCCUGUGAAGGUGUGCUGUGAGGCAUGCUGGAGGUAUCAGAAGUGCGAAUGCUGACAUAAGUAACGAUAAAGCGGGUGAAAAGCCCGCUCGCCGGAAGACCAAGGGUUCCUGUCCAACGUUAAUCGGGGCAGGGUGAGUCGACCCCUAAGGCGAGGCCGAAAGGCGUAGUCGAUGGGAAACAGGUUAAUAUUCCUGUACUUGGUGUUACUGCGAAGGGGGGACGGAGAAGGCUAUGUUGGCCGGGCGACGGUUGUCCCGGUUUAAGCGUGUAGGCUGGUUUUCCAGGCAAAUCCGGAAAAUCAAGGCUGAGGCGUGAUGACGAGGCACUACGGUGCUGAAGCAACAAAUGCCCUGCUUCCAGGAAAAGCCUCUAAGCAUCAGGUAACAUCAAAUCGUACCCCAAACCGACACAGGUGGUCAGGUAGAGAAUACCAAGGCGCUUGAGAGAACUCGGGUGAAGGAACUAGGCAAAAUGGUGCCGUAACUUCGGGAGAAGG
Molecule: ribosomal RNA, 1315 nt
Filed under: Escherichia coli
Lineage: Bacteria; Pseudomonadati; Pseudomonadota; Gammaproteobacteria; Enterobacterales; Enterobacteriaceae
Description: partial 23S ribosomal RNA
Rfam family: Bacterial large subunit ribosomal RNA
Source: RNAcentral